GAGUUUGAUCAUGGCUCAGAGCGAACGCUGGCGGCAGGCUUAACACAUGCAAGUCGAGCGCCUGUAGCAAUACAGGAGCGGCAGACGGGUGAGUAACGCGUGGGAACGUACCCUUUGGUUCGGAACAACACAGGGAAACUUGUGCUAAUACCGGAUAAGCCCUUACGGGGAAAGAUUUAUCGCCGAAGGAUCGGCCCGCGUCUGAUUAGCUUGUUGGUGAGGUAACGGCUCACCAAGGCUACGAUCAGUAGCUGGUCUGAGAGGAUGAUCAGCCACACUGGGACUGAGACACGGCCCAGACUCCUACGGGAGGCAGCAGUGGGGAAUAUUGGACAAUGGGCGCAAGCCUGAUCCAGCCAUGCCGCGUGAGUGAUGAAGGCCCUAGGGUUGUAAAGCUCUUUCGGCGGGGAAGAUAAUGACGGUACCCGCAUAAGAAGCCCCGGCUAACUUCGUGCCAGCAGCCGCUGUAAU
Molecule: ribosomal RNA, 471 nt
Filed under: uncultured Alphaproteobacteria bacterium
Lineage: Bacteria; Pseudomonadati; Pseudomonadota; Alphaproteobacteria
Description: bacterial SSU rRNA
Rfam family: Bacterial small subunit ribosomal RNA
Source: RNAcentral